Long non-coding RNA from Rana temporaria (common frog), 454 nucleotides. RefSeq lists it as uncharacterized. The transcript has 3 exons. The record is from RefSeq and is a predicted model, not a curated record. NCBI's taxonomy places the organism in Eukaryota, Metazoa, Chordata, Amphibia, Anura, Ranidae.
UCAUUGCAUUUAUUGACUCCCCCUUUUUGGGCAGUCCCUUGCUAUGAUGGACCCUAUAUUAUCCACCUAUAUUAAUUACACCUUCCUGGUCAUGAUUACCUUGGGAUGUCCACACCCUCCAUCUGUCUCACCAUCCCCGCAAUUUAGUGAACCAACAUAUGGUUUGGCAUUCAUACCACCAUCAUUUAACUAUUUGAGUUUUCCGCAAUAUCCCCCUUGUCCGUCGCGGGGGGGUUACCCCACCUGGGUUGCCUGAUACCACACUUCACCACCUAAUUAUGGAUUGGUUCUCUUGAGAAAGCGGUUUCACCGCGAAACUAGUCGAGGCAUAGACCAGUCUAUAUGUUUGCAACAACAAAAUUGCCCGGGGGUACUCCCUGAGGUCCUGUCUUUUCAAUUUUACCAUGUAUUCUUUGUUCAACAAUUGUAUGUAAUAAAAUAUAUUUUUAUAUUA